ACGGAAGGCAGCAGUGGGGAAUAUUGCACAAUGGGCGCAAGCCUGAUGCAGCGACGCCGCGUGAAGGAUGAAGUAUUUCGGUAUGUAAACUUCUAUCAGCAGGGAAGAAAAUGACGGUACCUGACUAAGAAGCCCCGGCUAACUACGUGCCAGCAGCCGCGGUAAUACGUAGGGGGCAAGCGUUAUCCGGAUUUACUGGGUGUAAAGGGAGCGUAGAUGGCAUAGCAAGUCUGAAGUGAAAGCCCGGGGCUCAACCCCGGAACUGCUUUGGAAACUGUUAAGCUAGAGUGCAGGAGAGGUAAGCGGAAUUCCUAGUGUAGCGGUGAAAUGCGUAGAUAUUAGGAGGAACACCAGUGGCGAAGGCGGCUUACUGGACUGUAACUGACAUUGAGGCUCGAAAGCGUGGGGAGCAAACAGGAUUAGAUACCCUGGUA
RNAcentral lists this ribosomal RNA (434 nucleotides) under uncultured Lachnospiraceae bacterium. RNAcentral describes it as "bacterial SSU rRNA". It matches the Rfam family "Bacterial small subunit ribosomal RNA", at positions 341 to 792 of the family's 1533-position model. The record is from RNAcentral. Lineage: Bacteria; Bacillati; Bacillota; Clostridia; Lachnospirales; Lachnospiraceae.